CUUAAUGACGGGCUACACGGGCAACCGAAAGGUUGGCCGUUGUCCUUGGCGGUAUUGCGACCCCGUGUAGCCUGUUGCCAUU
This 82-nucleotide non-coding RNA is filed under the name Candidatus Kentrum sp. UNK. Lineage: Bacteria; Pseudomonadati; Pseudomonadota; Gammaproteobacteria. The record is from RNAcentral.